AAGAGGGAACCCGGUGCGAGUCCGGGACUGCCCCGCAGCGGUGAGCGGGAACGACAGCCGUCAUACGCACUGGGUCGGCCGACCUGGGAAGCGACGGCCGGUAGGUGCAUCCGGGAGGGUGCGUGCCCGCGAGUCCGAAGACCU
Molecule: non-coding RNA, 144 nt
Filed under: Pseudonocardia sp.
Lineage: Bacteria; Bacillati; Actinomycetota; Actinomycetes; Pseudonocardiales; Pseudonocardiaceae
Source: RNAcentral